GGGGGUAUAGCUAAGUGGUAGAGCGUUUGACUACAGAUCAAGAGGUCUUCAGUUCAAAUCUGGGUGCCCCCC
Non-coding RNA from Trichomycterus rosablanca, 72 nucleotides. NCBI's taxonomy places the organism in Eukaryota, Metazoa, Chordata, Actinopteri, Siluriformes, Trichomycteridae. The record is from the annotation of a RefSeq genome assembly.